UGGAAUGAAACUCUGGAGAACCGAGUCCUCUGUUUAGCCCCAGAGCAGGUACAGCACAGGUAGGAGUGGUGCAAGCUUCACUCAUGCUGUACCCACCAAAGUACCUCAAGCCUGAAUCUCGGAGAGACAAUAUCCUCUAGAGACAGGGUGGGAGGAGCUCAGCUUCGAGGUAUCUCUUCCUUCCUCAGUCCCU
Molecule: small RNA, 193 nt
Filed under: Chrysemys picta bellii (western painted turtle)
Lineage: Eukaryota; Metazoa; Chordata; Testudines; Emydidae
Description: TUC338 (ENSCPBG00000020949.1)
Source: RNAcentral